RNAcentral lists this transfer RNA (79 nucleotides) under Pyropia yezoensis (susabi-nori). Its description in RNAcentral is "Neopyropia yezoensis (susabi-nori) tRNA-Ile". RNAcentral also lists the same sequence under 2 other names. Lineage: Eukaryota; Rhodophyta; Bangiophyceae; Bangiales; Bangiaceae. The record is from RNAcentral.
GAUAAUAGCUUUGGUUUUGAAAAACUAUUUCUAUUUCAAUUAUCCAUACUACUAUUAGUAUUAUAUAGUAAAAAUCUUU